Oreochromis niloticus (Nile tilapia) is the source of this 432-nucleotide long non-coding RNA. RefSeq lists it as uncharacterized. Lineage: Eukaryota; Metazoa; Chordata; Actinopteri; Cichliformes; Cichlidae. The record is from RefSeq and is a predicted model, not a curated record. The transcript has 3 exons.
AAGGGGGCGGAGCAAAGUGUGUGUACAGGAGAGGAGUGGAUAAGAGAGCUGCUUUUUCAUGAAACGGGGGUAAAGUAGUAAACCUACAGGAACAUAUACCACUACCAACGUUUGGAUAUUUCUCUCUAUAGUUUCUCUCGGUUCGUGGGCUCAUCUAAAGCUGAGUAACAGGAGGAAAAGAGUCUGGUAGAGCAACAGAGGAACAAUUUCAGCCAUUUGGACUCAGCUCAGCCACUACAGAGGAAAGAAUGACUUCAACACAAAAGGACCAACGUGGAGCGAGAAGUCAGUGCUCUCAGGAGGCUGACAAACCUCACAGAAGAAAGGGAGAGAAAACAUACAGCUGUGAUAACUGUGGGAAGGAUUUUAUGCGGGGUGGAGACUUAAAAAGACACCAACUCAUCCACAGUGGACUUAAACCUUACAGCUGUG